This 253-nucleotide ribosomal RNA is filed under the name uncultured bacterium. RNAcentral's name for it is "partial 16S ribosomal RNA". It matches the Rfam family "Bacterial small subunit ribosomal RNA", at positions 524 to 776 of the family's 1533-position model. The record is from RNAcentral.
UACGUAGGGUGCAAGCGUUAAUCGGAAUUACUGGGCGUAAAGCGUGCGCAGGCGGACUUAUAAGUCAGUGGUGAAAUCUCACAGCUUAACUGUGAAACUGCCUUUGAUACUGUAGGUCUUGAAUUAGGGAGAGAUUCGUGGAAUUCCGAGUGUAGCAGUGAAAUGUGUAGAUAUUCGGAAGAACACCAGAGGCGAAGGCAGCGAAUUGGCCCUAUAUUGACGCUCAGGCACGAAAGCAUGGGGAUCAAACAGG